GAAGUAAAGCCAGAAAGCAGCAGGGAAGGCGAAGCAGGUGGAAGGCUGCCUCCUGAUGCGGUGCUGAAGCCCCCUCACUGACCUGCCGAGAGACCCGGUUUGCUUCUCUGGCGAACCCUGCGACGACGGGGUCUGCCUCGGAGCAUGGCCGAAGCGUGGUGCCCGAGGACCCGGGCGUUCCUAAGAGAGAGUGCUGAUACUUGUCUGAGACAACAGCCAGGUGAGAGAAGAACUUCCCAGACGGUGAGGUGGCUUUGUUUGGCCCCCGACCGGCCUCUCUCUGUGACUCACAUCUUCAGCCCUCUGAGAGAUAAGUGGGGCCCGCAGAGGGGAUCAAAGCGGGGUGGCGGGUCGGGACUGAGAUCGGUUUGGGUUUUUGAGUGAGCUUUGGGGAUGGGGAGGUUCUGGAAAUGACCCCAUAGGCCCCAGUGAGGGAAAGCCUCACUUUGGUUUGCAAUGCUGAGGCGAACAGGGCAGAGCAGUCCCAGGGUGUGUUGUCACUUGUCUCUUGUGCCUUCUGUGUCUUCUGUGCAUCUCGUGUAAUGUGCCUCUUGCCUUAGCCCUCUCCAGGGCUUAUGAGAAACCCCAGGUCCUUCCAUUCAUCUCCCAUCUUUGCGUUCCUCGGCCCGACGCCGGCGCAACUUUGAUUCGGGAGCUCUGACACGCGUCAGAAUCGCAUCUGUCUUCAGAAGCACGCGAUCGU
This 703-nucleotide long non-coding RNA is filed under the name Cyanistes caeruleus (blue tit). Its description in RNAcentral is "lncRNA (ENSCCEG00000007981.1)". The record is from RNAcentral. Lineage: Eukaryota; Metazoa; Chordata; Aves; Passeriformes; Paridae.